CGUGCGCCUAAACUGNCAGUCGAACGAGUAUUUUUGAUGCUUGCANUAACCGGAAAGCGGCNAACGGGUGAGUAACACGUUGGUAUCUGCCCCCAAGUCAGGGAUAGCCAUUGGAAACGAUGAUUAAUACCGGAUAGUCUCUUUCGAGAGUAAAGAUUUAUUGCUUGGGGAGGAACCUGCGGUCUAUCAGCUAGUUGGUGUGGUAAAAGCACACCAAGGCUAUGACGGAUAUCUGGUCUGAGAGGAUGACCANACACAAUGGAACUGAGACACGGUCCAUACUCCUACGGGAGGCANCANUGAGGAAUCUUCCACAAUGGACGAAAGUCUGAUGGAGCGACACCGCGUGAAGGAUGACGGCCUAACGGUUGUAAACUUCUUUUCUGAAGGAGCAUAAUGAGAGUACUUCAGGAACAAGGGACGGCUAAAUAUGUGCCAGCAGCCGCGGUAAUACAUAUGUCCCGAGUGUUACCCGGAAUAAUUGGGUGUAAAGGGUUCGUAGGCGGAUAAGAAAGUUGGAUAUGAAAGACCGAAGCUCAACUUCGUGUUUGUAUCCAAAACUCCUUGUCUAGAAUUAGGGAGAGGUAAGCGNAAUUCUAAGUGUAGGGGUGCAAUCCGUANAUACUUAGAGGA
This 633-nucleotide ribosomal RNA is filed under the name uncultured bacterium. Its description in RNAcentral is "bacterial SSU rRNA". It matches the Rfam family "Bacterial small subunit ribosomal RNA", at positions 41 to 705 of the family's 1533-position model. The record is from RNAcentral.